ACACGACUACAUUAGAUACCCGCGUAGUCCUAGCCGUAAACGAUACUCGCUAGGUGUCGGCCACGGUGCGACCGUUGUCGGUGCCGUAGGGAAGCCGUGAAGCGAGCCACCUGGGAAGUACGGCCGCAAGGCUGAAACUUAAAGGAAUUGGCGGGGGAGCACCACAACGGGUGGAGCUUGCGGUUUAAUUGGAUUCAACGCCGGAAACCUUACCGGGACCGACAGCAACAUGAAGGCCAGGCUGAAGACUUUGCCGGAUUAGCUG
This 265-nucleotide ribosomal RNA is filed under the name uncultured archaeon. RNAcentral describes it as "partial 16S ribosomal RNA". It matches the Rfam family "Archaeal small subunit ribosomal RNA", at positions 717 to 982 of the family's 1478-position model. The record is from RNAcentral.